This 387-nucleotide RNase P RNA is filed under the name Dysgonomonas sp. PH5-45. RNAcentral describes it as "RNase P class A". It matches the Rfam family "Bacterial RNase P class A". From Rfam's summary of the family: Ribonuclease P (RNase P) is a ubiquitous endoribonuclease, found in archaea, bacteria and eukarya as well as chloroplasts and mitochondria. Its best characterised activity is the generation of mature 5'-ends of tRNAs by cleaving the 5'-leader elements of precursor-tRNAs. The record is from RNAcentral. Lineage: Bacteria; Pseudomonadati; Bacteroidota; Bacteroidia; Bacteroidales; Dysgonomonadaceae. RNAcentral also lists the same sequence under 1 other name.
GCAGCAGGUUGGUUUGCCGCUGGCACCCUCCUUCGGGGGGAUGAAAGAGGAAAGUCCGGGCAACACAGAGCACCGCACUUCUUAAUGUGGAAGCUAUCCGUGAGGGUAGAGCAAGGGUAACAGAAAAUAACCGCCCGUGCGGAAACAAACGGGUAAGGGUGAAAAGGCGGGGUAAGAGCCCACCGGUUGCGGUAGCGAUAUCGUGAGCCGUACCUCUUGCGGGUUGUAAGACCAUGUAUACCGGCGUAUGUAGGAUUGCUCGUCCGAUGUCGGGGGGUAGGUCGCUUGAGCCUGUCGGUGACGGCAGGCGUAGAUAAAUGGCAAACACUUUUAAUUUCAGUUUCUGAUUUAAAAGAACAGAACCCGGCUUACAGACCGGCUGCAUUU